RNAcentral lists this ribosomal RNA (301 nucleotides) under uncultured bacterium. RNAcentral describes it as "partial 16S ribosomal RNA". It matches the Rfam family "Bacterial small subunit ribosomal RNA", at positions 509 to 809 of the family's 1533-position model. The record is from RNAcentral.
CAGUAGCCGCGGUAAUACAGAGGGUGCAAGCGUUAAUCGGAUUUACUGGGCGUAAAGGGCGCGUAGGCGGCCAUUCAAGUUAGAUGUGAAAGCCCUGGGCUCAACCUAGGAAUUGCAUUUGAUACUGUUUGGCUUGAGUUCGGGAGAGGUGAGUGGAAUUCCCAGUGUAGAGGUGAAAUUCGUAGAUAUUGGGAAGAACACCGGUGGCGAAGGCGGCGACCUGGUCCUUGACUGACGCUGAGGCGCGAAAGCGUGGGGAGCAAACAGGAUUAGAUACCCGCGUAGUCCCUGUCUCUUAUAA